Molecule: long non-coding RNA, 727 nt
Organism: Mustela erminea (ermine)
Lineage: Eukaryota; Metazoa; Chordata; Mammalia; Carnivora; Mustelidae
Exons: 3
Source: RefSeq, a predicted model, not a curated record
ACCAACUGAGCCACCCAGGUGUCCCAAAACUUUAAAUUCAUACAAAAGUUGAUUUUGUGUAAGAGUCCUGCCCUAAUGUGAUACUGAGAUUGGGCAUUUCAUGAUGUUCUCCGAAUAGAUGGGUCAAUUUAUAUUACUGACUAGAAGUUAAUAUACAGAAUGAAGUUUUCCUUGAGGUUAAUUUUCCUUGAGGCUAUAGGGGUGUGACUUGGGAGUAGGCUGGUGUGCAUUCAAGUCAUGUAAUCAUAACUUUUAUUUAUUUACUUGCUUACUUUUUAUUUUCCAGAGAUGAUACAUCUGGAAAGUUGGUAUUCAGGUAGUUGGUAGAUCGUGUAGUUCAACUAAUUUCUAGAUAGAAGCUGAUUCUUUUGAUACCAGAGGCUGGAAUUCUUGGGUGCUCUAAGUCCUGGAUAUACAAUAGAUGAUGACAACAUUUUUCUGUUAUGCAUGAAGGUAGAUGAUUUUCAAAUUAAAGAUGGAACGUGACUUUUCUCACCAGAAAUGCCUUAUAGAAUCAACUUGCACAAAUGUAAGAGACACCAAAGGAAAGAGUGAAAUACUUGCUUUUAUCAUUCUUAGAUUCUAAACUCCAUGAAAGUGGGAAAGCUUCCUUAUCUGUAAUGCCUGGCCCAGAAUAGAUACUGAAAAAUACAUGAAGUGAUUUGAAACCUCCAUUAAUUUUUUUUUUUAAGAUUUUUAUUUAUUUAUUUAAUUCUCAGAGAAAGGG